GUGUGUUUUGAGAGGAGUUGCGAUGACAAACUGUUGCAGUAGUACAUUAAAGUAAAUAAGUUCAAAGGGGCGUAACUCCUAGAAAAAAAAAUUGAAUCGCAAUUUCCCGUCGAUAUGCACAACUACAUAGUAUGUCCUUAUUAUCUGAAAGGUUUCGUGAAAUUCUGUUGUGUGGUUUGAGAGGAGUUGCGAUGACAAACUGUUGCAGUAGUACAUUAAAGUAAAUAAGUUCAAAGGGGCGUAACUCCUAGAAAAAAAAUUGAAUCGCAAUUUCCCGUCGAUAUGCACAACUACAUAGUAUGUCCUUAUUAUCUGAAAAGGUUUCGUGAAAUUCUGUUGUGUGGUUUGAGAGGAGUUGCGAUGACAAGAAACAGGACUGACGGACGGACGGACGGACUGACAGACGGACGGGUCAAAAACAUUAUACCCUCCGCAACUUCGUUGCGUGGGGUAUAAUGAUUGGGCCAAAUUUGGUUUAAUAAUGCAUUCCAUUCUGUGGUUCUUUAAGAGAAGGCAUUUUUAUGUAUUUCUCAUAGGGUCCUAUGUUAAACUAAGUCCCCCACUGUAGGCCAUCUUGGCUGAUAGAUUGGCUACGAAGUCACAUCACCUUGUCAGCACCUCAUAAAGAACAUUCUAAUUCCUAUGUUCUAUUUCUAUGCAUGUUGGUUUUUAAAAUGUAGACAAAAAUCACAAACAGUAUUUUUGACAUCCUUUAGAUGAAGCAGACAAACUUUGGUUCAUUGAACUUUCUAAUAAGAAGAUUUUUAAAGAAAGUUUAGGG
RNAcentral lists this long non-coding RNA (781 nucleotides) under Mytilus galloprovincialis (Mediterranean mussel). The record is from RNAcentral. Lineage: Eukaryota; Metazoa; Mollusca; Bivalvia; Mytilida; Mytilidae.